RNAcentral lists this ribosomal RNA (433 nucleotides) under uncultured bacterium. RNAcentral's name for it is "partial 16S ribosomal RNA". It matches the Rfam family "Bacterial small subunit ribosomal RNA", at positions 29 to 507 of the family's 1533-position model. The record is from RNAcentral.
AACGAACGCUGGCGGCAUGCCUAACACAUGCAAGUCGAACGAGACCUUCGGGUCUAGUGGCGCACGGGUGCGUAACGCGUGGGAACCUGCCCUUAGGUUCGGAAUAACUCCCCGAAAGGGGUGCUAAUACCGGAUAAUGUCUUCGGACCAAAGAUUUAUCGCCUUUGGAUGGGCCCGCGUUGGAUUAGCUAGUUGGUAGGGUAAAAGCCUACCAAGGCGACGAUCCAUAGCUGGUCUGAGAGGAUGAUCAGCCACACUGGGACUGAGACACGGCCCAGACUCCUACGGGGGGGAGCAGUGGGGAGUAUUGGACAAUGGGCGAAAGCGUGAUACAGCAAUGCCGCGGGAGUGAGGAAGGCCUUAGGGUUGUAAAGCUGUUUGACCCGGGAUGAUAAUGACAGUACCGGGAGAAUAAGCACCGGCUAACUCCGUG